Molecule: long non-coding RNA, 1418 nt
Organism: Oncorhynchus tshawytscha (Chinook salmon)
Lineage: Eukaryota; Metazoa; Chordata; Actinopteri; Salmoniformes; Salmonidae
Exons: 2
Source: RefSeq, a predicted model, not a curated record
AGCUGUUCAGCCCGAGACAGCUUCAGGGAACAGCAGUGAGUGGGAGGAGAGUGAAAAGAUAACAUCACAAAAAAACACAGAGACAAGAAAAGGAGAGGAGAACAAGGCAGAAGGAGGAGGAGGAGGAGGGGAGAAUGGGCGAGCAGGGAUCAGGGUGACCCCGUGCCAGCCACUUGGGAACAUGUUCUGCUGAAGCCGGAGAAAGGCCUAAACUAAACUACACCAAGUAGUAAUCUCACCACCACAGACACAAAUCCUGGGAAUCAGUCUUGACGCCAACCGACCCCUCUCCAUGGAACAGGGCUACGCUGCUCUCCCAGUCACCCACUCCCAUAGCACAGAGGAAUGGGAUGACUCUGACUCUGAGGAGCCACGCAGUCAAACUGCUCAUAAAAGCAGCACCAACUCCAUUCUGACCUGACAGCAGUCAGUGGGAUUAGAUUGACCGGGCUCCCUGUGAUGUCCACCUGCCCUCUCAUAAAGGCCCCAUUAGGACAUUGUAAGGAGAAGGUAGGAGAAAAAACUUAGACAACCACGAUCAAAGACCCACUGUCUUUCUGUCACACCUGUAAUGAUGGGCUGGUUUAAAGGGUCAGUAGAAGAUUCAAGGGAAAUUUCACCGCUGCUCUAUUUCACUAUAUAUGCCCAUAGAUAUGUUUUUUAAAUAUCAGAUGUGCCAUGAACAUGUUGAAUUUCCUCACUACACAAAAAUACGAGCAUUUCUGCAUCUCAUCGGUAGAAACGGGCCAGCUACAUUUACUGGUUGUAAGCAAACCACAAUAUCCAGAAUUCAUAGCGAUUUCAGGACGUGGAGGACCGCCGGUGGAGGAGUAGGGUAUCCAAUUGAUGGGUGAAAAAUCAAAAUGUCUGAUUUUGUAGCCAGCACUUUCAGCCAGUUCUAAACGGAACUGAAGUCACAACUGAUGGGGUUGCCAUGUCGUCAAACAUUGAAAAGUGAUGCUAUUCCAGUGAAUUUCCCCUUCACUUCAAAGAGGACUUCAUCCGAUCAGCCAACAUCAGUGCAGCAGAAAAGAAGGCAAGCUGAGCUAACGAGACUUGGAGUACAUACAAAGCUUCUGCAAGAGGUCGAAGCAGUGGGUGGUGAAGAACACCGCCACAGCGCCAAAGCCUGCUAAACCAAAUGCCAUUACCCAACACAAGAAGAGGUUCACCAGCUGAAGAACAUUCAGGACCCUGCCUGGAACAUUCAGGCAACACAACGUACAUAUUCAGUUAGACUGAUGUUGUAGUAUAAUAUAGAAUGCCCAGUAUGCUCACAACUGCAUUGUGGUAUAGAUAUUUCUAGCUCUUGUACAUAUGUAUAUAAUGGUGUUAUAUAAUAUUUUUGAAUGUAUUAGAUUCAGUGAGUAAACAAUUCCAGGUGCAUCAGAAACCAAUAAAGUGUUGACUUCAACUUC